UGGAAGGAAGUCAGCCUGGCCUUCCUCACAGCAAGGAAGAGGAAAGAAGCCACCUUCUCCAAAGGCUGCCAACCUAUGGACUGGGCCAAGUUCCAGAGGUGCAGGGAAGAGGAGAUAUUGAGAAACCCCUGCAGGCAGCUCGCCCCAGGAUCAUCCGCAGGCCUCUGACAACGGAUGCAAGCACAUUGUAAAAGGAAACCCACAGCACCAAGGGCCCCAUUCUCGCAACCCAUCCUGUCACUCUGAGAAACUGUCAAGCGCUCUUCAUUUUUCCCUUCUCCAGCCUCCUCUCUGCUGCAACCAGUCCUUGACCAGCAUCAUGAGUCCCCGGGGGCUGAAGACAAGGCCAAGAGUCAUUAUCAGUGGCUUAGGAACUAUGAGGCCUCCAAGAAAACAUCUAUAGUAAGAAGCACUUCCUCUACAGAAGAAAGCAGUGUGAGCCAAGGAAAAAAAGCAGCCCUGAACCCAAAAAUGGGUUCUGCAGACACGUUAGGAGAAGGUGCUAGAAAGGCCUUAGGUACUCUGUGCUCUGGUUACCGUGCUCUGCAGGGAUGGCAGCUCCAACACAUAUAGUUUCCCAAGUGCCAUCAGUGUCCCAGCUGCAUGUCCAACACUGGCCCACCCAGGACAUUCCAGUGAGCCCUCAUCACAGGCAAGAGGCCAGACUGUGGCCACUAAGGGGGCUGGGCCACCCUCCAGCCAUUUGGGACAUUCACUGUGUUCAUCUGAGAAAAAAGACUGCUAUGAGCCAAGGUCACACAGGCCAGGGAGGAGGUGCUCUGCUUGACCCCAGUGGCCACAGGUACUCAGCUCUGACCUGGAGGUCUCUGAGGAAGAUGUACCACUGCCUGUGAGACCUUCCCACUCAUUUCCUCUGGCCAAGACCUCCUCAUCCUUCAAGUCUCAGACACGGCUUCCUCUGGGAAGCUCCCCUGACCCUGAGGCUGAGACAGGAACUGCAGCGAGUUCAUCACACCGCCUGACCUCACCCCCACAUGCUCAGCACACUAAGUCCCAGGUGCCCGCUUCCUCAUUCCCAGCAGAAGGCGCAGAGUUUGCAGACUUUGACACUUUGUCUGUAGGUGGCUCGUGGGAUGCUCAUUUAAGGCGGCAACCAAGGUGAAUUAGAGCAAGCCCAGACAGAGGUGCUGCUCACAGCCAGGUGUCCAGCCUAGGCCCCUGCCUGGUCCUGAGGCUAAUCUCCAUUCCAGAAGCAAAGCAGAGCUCCCUAGGAGGCUGAGAAGACAUGAAAAGGCCCAGCCUCGGACCACACCCCACUUCACAGCCCAGGCCCUUUCCAACAGAGCUGAAUACAAUCUUUCUCCAAUGACUGGGCCAUGAGCCACUACACCUAGGCCACCUGUAAAAGUAUCAACUUCCCACCCCUGCCAGACCAUGGCCAAGAACAAGAGCCUUGAGAUCUGUUUACCUUAUGCCCUGACAUGGCUGGGCUGGAACACAAAACACCAAGGCUGGGACAUGCCUAUAAUCCCAGCUACUCAGGAGGCUGAGGCAUGUGGAUCAAAAGUUGGAGGCCAGCCUGGGCAAUUUAUUGAGACCCUGUCUCAAAAUUUUAAAAAAGUCUGGGGAUGUAGCUAAGUGGUAGAAAGCUUGCUCAGCAAAGGGAGGG
This 1630-nucleotide long non-coding RNA is filed under the name Heterocephalus glaber (naked mole-rat). RNAcentral describes it as "lncRNA (ENSHGLG00100035362.1)". Lineage: Eukaryota; Metazoa; Chordata; Mammalia; Rodentia; Bathyergidae. The record is from RNAcentral.